UGCCAGUAGAUGAAUAACAAUUCACUGGGAGUGGAGCAAUCCGAAUUGCUGAGGACUUGUCUGGCUGUUCCCAUAUAUUCGGUCCAAAUUUGGGCAUCUUCUUCAAAAGGAAAAGGCAGGUGUUUUCAAAUACUACCACUGGUGUGAGUUCCUCAGUGCAUCUUCACUUUCAUUGCCCCAGUACAUGGAGAAGCUUUGUUUUCAUAGCUGAUAAGAAAAAUCUCCUCCUAUAUGUUUUCACGACUUCUGGCGCAUCUGAAUCCCAAGUUCCAGAAGUAACUUACCACUAAUGCAAAGCUCUUGGAUAGCCCCCUAUUUACUUGCUUUGGAGCUGCACUUACAGGUCCCACCGCCUGAAACACUGCAAUCAAGCUGACAACACAACCAAUCAAGGUCUGACCUGCAGCCGUUACCUAGGAAACCCAAGCCACUGCCACAGAAACAGAUUGUACACUGUGGAAGAAAACAUAUAUUUUGGGUGAAGGCGGAAAAAAAUAAAAAAAGGGCAUUUCAGAUAUUUUUUCCAGUACUUUUGAGUUAUUACAAAGCACUUCUGAAAUAAUAGUAAUGAAAAAUACUCUUGUUAAGAAAGAUUGAGUGAUGAUGGUCAUGUAAGUAAUUCAAGCAGGGUAGACAGCCUCUGAGAAAGACUGUGAGCCAGUGCUGUUUGAGUGCUUGUUCCUGCUUUGCUACUGAGUCACUUCAUAACCCCUGCCAAGUCAUUGCAAAAAGAUUUCCAAGUCAUUAAGUCCAUAGUUCCAAUGAACAAUAAGUUCAGAUCAAAACAGGUUGAGUACCUGAAGAAGAAUACUUGGAAGAAAACAACAAGAUUAUCAUGACCAUACUGGAAACCCUGA
This is a long non-coding RNA of Pezoporus occidentalis (night parrot), 857 nucleotides long. RefSeq lists it as uncharacterized. NCBI's taxonomy places the organism in Eukaryota, Metazoa, Chordata, Aves, Psittaciformes, Psittacidae. The record is from RefSeq and is a predicted model, not a curated record. The transcript is spliced from 3 exons.